UAUACAUCUGCAGCAAGGAUCUUCCAAAGCUCAGAAAGCCUGUACUGUCAUCACCUCUGUCUCUGCUUAUAUAUCAGAGAUCGGAGUUGAAAAACAGCACGACAUAU
This is a non-coding RNA of Zea mays, 107 nucleotides long. The record is from Rfam. Lineage: Eukaryota; Viridiplantae; Streptophyta; Magnoliopsida; Poales; Poaceae.